Long non-coding RNA from Bubalus bubalis (water buffalo), 3196 nucleotides. RefSeq lists it as uncharacterized. The transcript has 2 exons. Lineage: Eukaryota; Metazoa; Chordata; Mammalia; Artiodactyla; Bovidae. The record is from RefSeq and is a predicted model, not a curated record.
UCCCCCUACAUCCCUGUUGCUUUCCGGCAAAUCAUGUGCCAUCAUCUGAACAAAUCAUGACACUUGACCUUCGAAGUCGGCAGCGUAGUGUCCCAUCCAGGGUGGACCAUUGGUCUGAUGAUGCCUCCUCCUGGCGAGGCCUGCCCAGGAGACGUGCUGAGGAAGUGCUGGUCAGAGGGCGCUGAGAUCCCUGCUGGAGACAGCUGGUGAGCUCGUCCAGGGGCACGUUGGUCCAGUGCUCCAGAAGGCAUAAGCGAUUAGGUCUAAGACUUUCAAACUGAAUCAGAGAGAAACCCAAACUGAGGUUUUUCCAGCAAAGCUAGGUUUUGAACUAAGCUGUAACAGAAAAUGAAACUUGCUCUGGGAGCCACUUGGCCGCGGGAAUGUCUCUUAUACCUGAGGCCACUGCACGCGUCUCCCCUCCUGUCCCUUGUCUUCUGGAGCCCCUCCUCCACUCGUGGAACAAGCCCUCUGAGGGUCCCGCUGUGGGCAGGCUGUGCUCAGGGUCAGGGUCAGGGCCCCUGUCCCCAGCUCUCAGCUGGUGUGGGGGCGUCCCCAUGGGAAGGCCCUCUGGUUGUGGAGAGCUGGCUCCUGGAGCUCCCCUGACAGCUUCUGGGAAGGAGACGCAGCCUGUCUCCGACCUCAUCUAUAGGUCUUUGACGGCCGGGAAUGUCAUGGACAAGGAAGCCUGGUGUGCUGCAGUCCUUGGGGUCACACAGAGGUGGACACAACUUAGUAACUGAACAAGUGCCAUUCUAGCCAUCUGCAGGCUAAAUCAGAGUUCCAUAAAGAAGAGCUCCCAGAAAUACGUUUCCCAAAGAAAGCCCCUCCUUAAGGAAAACAGAGCACACUGAAAGACGUAAUAACACUCAGCGAAGUCAGGCCAGGCAGAGGGAAGCAGAGCUGAGCCGGUGUCUGAGACUGCCUGCAGACAGCCAGCUCCUCAGCACAGUUCCUCUCUUCUAACAGUCUCACGGUUGUUAUGGAAUGUUGGCCAUACCCUGUGUGCUAUGUGGUGGUCCUUAUGUGUUUGUGAGUUGGAGCUUUGGUCAGUCUAAAACGACAGUCAUAGGCUUGGGAUUUUAGAACCAAAGGAAGCUUUAAACUUCUUGUUUUCCUUAUUUAUUGGCCACACUGCACGGCUUGCAGGACCUUGGUGCCCUGGCCAGGGAUUGGAGUGGGUCCCAGCAGUGAAAGCACCGAGUCCAAGCCCCUGGAGCUCCGGGGGUCCCUGAGCGCCUCCCUUGGAGCUCAUAGGAAGCCCCAGGGGAAGUGCGCACAGCUGUGUGUGGACUCUGCACCUGAGUGUGCGCCCGUCGCGUGUCUGACGCACUGUCACGGCGAGAGGAGCGCAGGCCUGGCCCAGCAGCCCAGCUGCUCUGCAGGAGAUGCUUGCAUUUUCUCGUCUGUAAAUGGGGUUGAUGAUAGUGUCGACCUCUUAGAGUCAUGAAAUGAAAAACACUUAGUACACUGAAAUAGCUAGAGAUGAGUCACGGCCAUUCAGACUAUUUUUCGAAUCUUGGAAUACUCUCACUGACCUAAGGACACUCUGAUUUUGAGGUUGGCUGUUAAGUUAUCCAUAAAGGAUGGAUUUUUUUGGAGUCAGAGAAGUAGCCCCGGCUCUAGCACGCGCCUGUGCUCUGAGAGUGGACCUGAUGGGUUUUGAGAAGUAAAGCUUAAAGGGAAUGCCGAGGUGCCGGAGAGCCAGGUGGAGCCGGGAGGAAGGCGAGCUCGGGGCGCCUGUGCGUGCCGUGUGCUCAGCAGCCCCCAGGCUCUGCCGGCCGCCCUCCCGCUCCUGCGCCCGGCCGCCUUCCCGCUCGUCUGCACACGCGCACACACUCACACACACUCACACGCCACCCCCACUCGCUUGGAGUAGGUGGCAGCCUCCCCUCCUGUUUGCUCGAGUUUCCUCAGCCUUGCUCCUGGCGCUCUGCUGGAUGCUGUCCCCUCCGUCAGGCAGGACUCUGCCUUGUUGCCCAGCCCCCUGAAGGCCCUCGUCUGCUGGCAGGCACCCAGCAGGCUCUGCCUGUGCCGCCGCUGGGUAGUGUGUUUGCUGUUCUCCUUUUAGGUAAAAGCCGAGGCCUGUUUUGCUUUCUCUUCUCUCCCGGGCCCGAUUGCCUAAUAAGGCUCCAUCAGUUUAGGUCACGCUGUUGCCGAGCAGAGCUCAGUGAAGUGCACAUGUACUCGUCUCUCAGACCCUGCAGUGUCGGGGCCGCGGCCCCGUCGCAUCAGUGGAUUCUGCCUCAGGCAGGAAUCUGUCAGAUGGAGUAAACUGGCCUUCAGGGCAUCUGUGUGGCCCCCACUCAGAGGUCCAAGGGUGCGGCAGGUUCAUCAGCUGCUGAGGGGAGGACGCUUAGCCUCCGAGCUUUCCACUUACCCCGGUCUCUCCCUCCUGCCUCUGGCCACCUUCACGGCCUCCAGUUUCAUCACGACCUGUGACCUUGCGCCUCGCCGUUAGAGGCUUGAAACGCGGCUGUAGCUUGUUUUCUGCGAUCAGGCGUGUGCUCCGCUACAGAAAGCACGUGACGUACAGACGUGCGAGAGCUUCUAGAGCAGGUUGUCCUGUAGGGGUCGCUGUGGGCGAGAUGCUGUGCCUGCGUCCGCGGGUGGGGCCGGGGAAGCCAGGCCUCCCCAUGCCCCUGAACACAGCUGUCCUGCCGCUGGGCUUCUGCCCGCCGCCCUGCACAGUCAGGGGUGAAAGCCUCUCCGUCAUCCGAGUUCAAAGCCAGACUUAACUCUGUGUGUGAGCUCACAUUUUUUGGCAAAGGGAGCUUCUAAAAGUGCACCACGUCGGUCGAGGAGAAGCUGCUUGCACGUGGGUUGACCGCAUCCCCAGCCGCGUGGCCUCUUGUGCGAGGACAUCGUCAUUCGGCAGCCCCCGCCCUGCACACCCCAUCACCACUGCCGUGAGCCUUCAGGAUGCUGCUUGGGGUCCACCUCUGGCUGCCUCAUGACGCCUCCUGGUGUUCUUGGCCCCCAGAUUUGCACAUUGAAACACAUACUUCAUUUUCAGUGAUUUCCCUUUGUCUCUUCUCCAUGUUUUACUAUUGAUUUUUUGUGAUUUUAGCUGAGUUUUACCUCUUAAGAAUUUGAUUUCAGAAUAGUCAUAGUUGGUGGGGAGUACAAAAUGUUUGUUAUAAGAGGCGAUUCCUACCGCUAUAAAGAGUGAAAAUAAAGUUGUUCACUCAAAUGA